Molecule: long non-coding RNA, 903 nt
Filed under: Marmota monax (woodchuck)
Lineage: Eukaryota; Metazoa; Chordata; Mammalia; Rodentia; Sciuridae
Source: RNAcentral
GGAAAUGUGGUGACCCCCAUAGCCUCACCAGAUAAAAUUUAUACUCCCUUCAAAAUUCUAUUUAAUCUGUUGAUACUUUGGUGGAAUUCUGGAAAUGCUCCUGUCGUGUCUAGUAAGAAGCUUGAUAGAGACUUGGCAAAUCCAUAGUCGUUCCUAAAUAAUGAAUUUAUUGAGCCUUUCCCUUGAAUAUAGAUGCCAUAAUAUAGAUGCCAACAUUUCAUGAGAGAAAUUUGAUUAAUAUGUUACCAAUGCCCAUCACACUUGAAGGAAAUACUUUGUUUAGAUGUGGAAUGCAGGAAUAAAAUUCCGCAGCCUUUCACGCUCAAAGUUGGAUUGUCAGUUGCCCCCCAAAAGAGGAAUUUUUAAAAAAGAGAAAUUUGUUUUUAAAAAUCAGCAAACUAAUCAACCAGGAUAGAUUUAGAAUUCCAGUCCUGACUGGGAUGCAGGAAAGAGAAUUCUCAGAUGUACUAUUAAGAGGUGGCUGCAUAUGUAGAGAAUACAAAUUGAUUUUAAUGUUAGAAUAAGCACAGCAUCAUCGAAAAUGCCAUCUAAAAAUACACACAUCGUCUCUGCAUACCUAUGGGUGAACCUUGUCAUUUCUUGGUGGCAGUAUGCAUACCCCACCAACACAUUCGCGACAGAUCCCCCGCCGGCUGCCAUGUCGCCAUGUUCAUUUGUCUCUGAGUAGUGAGAAAUAAAGGAAUCUGAAGGUGAUUUGUCCCAUUCUGGGCCGGAUAAAUUAAAAAUUUGUAUUUGUGUGACAAUUCUUUUGCAGUCCUAGGAAAGCAAUAAGAAAGUGAAAAGCAUUUAAAUGAAGCAUUGCCUCUAGAAAAGCUCUUGAAAAAAAAACCGGACAAAUCUAAAUAAUAUUGAUUGAUUGAAAUUGAUUUUUCUGAAUGUUUU